Molecule: ribosomal RNA, 253 nt
Filed under: uncultured bacterium
Lineage: Bacteria
Description: partial 16S ribosomal RNA
Rfam family: Bacterial small subunit ribosomal RNA
Source: RNAcentral
UACGUAGGGGGCAAGCGUUGUCCGGAUUUAUUGGGCGUAAAGAGCGUGUAGGCGGUUAGGUAGGUCCGUUGUGAAAACUCGAGGCUCAACCUCGAGACGCCGAUGGAAACCAUCUGACUAGAGUCCGGAAGAGGAGAGUGGAAUUCCUGGUGUAGCGGUGAAAUGCGCAGAUAUCAGGAAGAACACCCGUGGCUAAGGCGGCUCUCUAGUACGUGACUGACGCUGAGACGCGAAAGCUAGGGGAGCAAACGGG